UAGGGAAUAUUGGACAAUGGGCGAAAGCCUGAUCCAGCAAUGCCGCGUGAGUGAUGAAGGCCUUAGGGUUGUAAAGCUCUUUUACCCGGGAUGAUAAUGACAGUACCGGGAGAAUAAGCUCCGGCUAACUCCGUGCCAGCAGCCGCGGUAAUACGGAGGGAGCUAGCGUUGUUCGGAAUUACUGGGCGUAAAGCGCACGUAGGCGGCUAUUCAAGUCAGAGGUGAAAGCCCGGGGCUCAACCCCGGAACUGCCUUUGAAACUAGAUAGCUUGAAUCCAGGAGAGGUGAGUGGAAUUCCGAGUGUAGAGGUGAAAUUCGUAGAUAUUCGGAAGAACACCAGUGGCGAAGGCGGCUCACUGGACUGGUAUUGACGCUGAGGUGCGAAAGCGUGGGGAGCA
RNAcentral lists this ribosomal RNA (398 nucleotides) under uncultured bacterium. RNAcentral's name for it is "bacterial SSU rRNA". It matches the Rfam family "Bacterial small subunit ribosomal RNA", at positions 355 to 770 of the family's 1533-position model. The record is from RNAcentral.